AAUCCUGCCAGUGGCGAGGAUCCAAUCGCUAGUCGGCAUAGUUUGUGGUUAAGACUACGACGGUAUCUAAUCGUCUUCGAUCCCUCAACUUUAGUCCCUGAUCAAUGGAAACGUCCUAGGUCAAAUGCUUUCGCAGUUGUUUGUCUUCGGUCAAUCCAAGAAUUUCACCUCUAGCGACCAAAUACAAAUGCCCCCAACCGUUCCUAUUCAUCAUUUCCCAAGGUCAAGUAUACCAACAAAACAAGACUAGGGUCCUAUUUCAUUAUUCCAUGCUAACACAUUCAGGCACGAAGGCCUACUUUGAGCAUUCUGAUUUGCUCAUGGUAAUACGCUUGGGCAGAGAACCACGCCGACCGAAGCCAACAUGAUCAUACCCAAACUUUAUCACCCGGGCUAAAACAAAUCUAGCCAAAUGAAUGACCAGCUGCAUAGCCACAGGGCGUAAGUUCGACUACGGACGUUUUAACUGCAACAACUUUAAUAUACGCUUUUGGAGCUGGAAUUACCGCGGCUGCUGGCACCAGACUUGCCCUCCAAUUGAUCCUCGUUAAGGGAUUUAAAUUGUACUCAUUCCAAUUGCAAAGACCAUAAAGACCCUGCAUUGUUAUUUAUUGUCACUACCUCACCGUGUCGGUAUUGGGUAAUUUGCGCGCCUGCUGCCUUCCUUGGAUGUGGUAGCCGUUUCUC
This 687-nucleotide ribosomal RNA is filed under the name fungal sp. K5. RNAcentral's name for it is "partial 18S rRNA". The record is from RNAcentral. Lineage: Eukaryota; Fungi.